AUUCUGGUGAAAAUACGGCUUCUCGUCCCAUCAGCCUUAGUCAACCACCAGGGAGCCUAG
Molecule: ribosomal RNA, 60 nt
Filed under: Yarrowia lipolytica CLIB122
Lineage: Eukaryota; Fungi; Ascomycota; Dipodascomycetes; Dipodascales
Description: rRNA YALI0_A00792r
Source: RNAcentral